UAUUUUGUUCAAGUUGGUAGAGCAUGAGACUCUUAAUCACAGGGUUGUGGGUUCAAGUCCCACCCUGGUAAAAA
This is a non-coding RNA of Podarcis lilfordi (Lilford's wall lizard), 74 nucleotides long. The record is from the annotation of a GenBank genome assembly. NCBI's taxonomy places the organism in Eukaryota, Metazoa, Chordata, Lepidosauria, Squamata, Lacertidae.